UAAUACGGAGGGUGCAAGCGUUAUCCGGAUUUACUGGGUUUAAAGGGUGCGUAGGCGGGCCGAAAAGUCAGCGGUGAAAUACUCUCGCUUAACGAGGGAACUGCCGUUGAUACUGUCGGUCUUGAAUAUAGUGGAGGUGGGCGGAAUGUUACAUGUAGCGGUGAAAUGCUUAGAUAUGUAACGGAACACCUAUUGCGAAGGCAGCUCGCUACACUAUUAUUGACGCUGAGGCACGAAAGCGUGGGGAGCAAACAGGAUUAGAUACCCUGGUAGUCCACGCCCUAAACGAUGUUCACUCGAUCUCGGCGAUACACUGUCGGGGUCUAUGCGAAAGCAUUAAGUGAACCACCUGGGGAGUACGGUCGCAAGACUG
RNAcentral lists this ribosomal RNA (373 nucleotides) under uncultured bacterium. RNAcentral describes it as "bacterial SSU rRNA". It matches the Rfam family "Bacterial small subunit ribosomal RNA", at positions 521 to 896 of the family's 1533-position model. The record is from RNAcentral.